UCGUAACAAGGUUUCCGUAGGUGAACCUGCGGAAGGAUCAUUACCUAGAGUUUGUAGACUUCGGUCUGCUACCUCUUACCCAUGUCUUUUGAGUACCUUCGUUUCCUCGGCGGGUCCGCCCGCCGAUCGGACAACAUUCAAACCCUUUGCAGUUGCAAUCAGCGUCUGAAAAAACAUAAUAGUUACAACUUUCAACAACGGAUCUCUUGGUUCUGGCAUCGAUGAAGAACGCAGCGAAAUGCGAUAAGUAGUGUGAAUUGCAGAAUUCAGUGAAUCAUCGAAUCUUUGAACGCACAUUGCGCCCCUUGGUAUUCCAUGGGGCAUGCCUGUUCGAGCGUCAUUUGUACCUUCAAGCUCUGCUUGGUGUUGGGUGUUUGUCUCGCCUCUGCGUGUAGACUCGCCUUAAAACAAUUGGCAGCCGGCGUAUUGAUUUCGGAGCGCAGUACAUCUCGCGCUUUGCACUCAUAACGACGACGUCCAAAAGUACAUUUUUACACUCUUGACCUCGGAUCAGGUAGGGAUACCCGCUGAACUUAAGCAUAUCA
Molecule: ribosomal RNA, 545 nt
Filed under: uncultured fungus
Lineage: Eukaryota; Fungi
Description: eukaryotic LSU rRNA
Rfam family: 5.8S ribosomal RNA (bases 187-340)
Source: RNAcentral